This 1491-nucleotide ribosomal RNA is filed under the name Klebsiella pneumoniae. Its description in RNAcentral is "16S ribosomal RNA". It matches the Rfam family "Bacterial small subunit ribosomal RNA". The record is from RNAcentral. Lineage: Bacteria; Pseudomonadati; Pseudomonadota; Gammaproteobacteria; Enterobacterales; Enterobacteriaceae.
CUGGCUCAGAUUGAACGCUGGCGGCAGGCCUAACACAUGCAAGUCGAGCGGUAGCACAGAGAGCUUGCUCUCGGGUGACGAGCGGCGGACGCCUGAGUAAUGUCUGGGAAACUGCCUGAUGGAGGGGGAUAACUACUGGAAACGGUAGCUAAUACCGCAUAACGUCGCAAGACCAAAGUGGGGGACCUUCGGGCCUCAUGCCAUCAGAUGUGCCCAGAUGGGAUUAGCUAGUAGGUGGGGUAACGGCUCACCUAGGCGACGAUCCCUAGCUGGUCUGAGAGGAUGACCAGCCACACUGGAACUGAGACACGGUCCAGACUCCUACGGGAGGCAGCAGUGGGGAAUAUUGCACAAUGGGCGCAAGCCUGAUGCAGCCAUGCCGCGUGUGUGAAGAAGGCCUUCGGGUUGUAAAGCACUUUCAGCGGGGAGGAAGGCGUAAGGUUAAUAACCUUGCGAUUGACGUUACCCGCAGAAGAAGCACCGGCUAACUCCGUGCCAGCAGCCGCGGUAAUACGGAGGGUGCAAGCGUUAAUCGGAAUUACUGGGCGUAAAGCGCACGCAGGCGGUCUGUCAAGUCGGAUGUGAAAUCCCCGGGCUCAACCUGGGAACUGCAUUCGAAACUGGCAGGCUAGAGUCUUGUAGAGGGGGGUAGAAUUCCAGGUGUAGCGGUGAAAUGCGUAGAGAUCUGGAGGAAUACCGGUGGCGAAGGCGGCCCCCUGGACAAAGACUGACGCUCAGGUGCGAAAGCGUGGGGAGCAAACAGGAUUAGAUACCCUGGUAGUCCACGCCGUAAACGAUGUCGAUUUGGAGGUUGUGCCCUUGAGGCGUGGCUUCCGGAGCUAACGCGUUAAAUCGACCGCCUGGGGAGUACGGCCGCAAGGUUAAAACUCAAAUGAAUUGACGGGGGCCCGCACAAGCGGUGGAGCAUGUGGUUUAAUUCGAUGCAACGCGAAGAACCUUACCUGGUCUGACAUCCACAGAACUUUCCAGAGAUGGAUUGGUGCCUUCGGGAACUGUGAGACAGGUGCUGCAUGGCUGUCGUCAGCUCGUGUUGUGAAAUGUUGGGUUAAGUCCCGCAACGAGCGCAACCCUUAUCCUUUGUUGCCAGCGGUUCGGCCGGGAACUCAAAGGAGACUGCCAGUGAUAAACUGGAGGAAGGUGGGGAUGACGUCAAGUCAUCAUGGCCCUUACGACCAGGGCUACACACGUGCUACAAUGGCAUAUACAAAGAGAAGCGACCUCGCGAGAGCAAGCGGACCUCAUAAAGUAUGUCGUAGUCCGGAUUGGAGUCUGCAACUCGACUCCAUGAAGUCGGAAUCGCUAGUAAUCGUAGAUCAGAAUGCUANCGGUGAAUACGUUCCCGGGCCUUGUACACACCGCCCGUCACACCAUGGGAGUGGGUUGCAAAAGAAGUAGGUAGCUUAACCUUCGGGAGGGCGCUUACCACUUUAUGAUUCAUGACUGGGGUGAAGUCGUAACAAGGAGCCGUAG